GUGAAUCAUCGAAUUUUUGAACGCAAAUUGCACUCUCUUCGGAGAGUAUGCCUGUUUGAGGGUCAGCAUAAAAAAAAAUCGACAUAGUAGCUGUUUCGUGGCGACAUUCGUCGGCAAUUGGGUCAUCUUAAACCUUUUGGUUUUAAGCGGCUUAAAAUUUUCUUUACGAUUCCUCGAACGUUUCUAAGAUUUACUUCUUAUACGUUUAAGGUAUCGAUCUUUAUUAGACGUGGCCGUUGCAUCGGAUCUGUGCCAAAAAUAUUUUGUUAACUGACCUC
Molecule: unclassified non-coding RNA, 278 nt
Filed under: Glomus sp.
Lineage: Eukaryota; Fungi; Glomeromycota; Glomeromycetes; Glomerales; Glomeraceae
Description: partial contains 5.8S ribosomal RNA and internal transcribed spacer 2
Rfam family: 5.8S ribosomal RNA (bases 1-65)
Source: RNAcentral